UGCGUCUGGUGAGGAUAGAAAAAGGACAGGUUUCGCUAAAAUUAGCAGAACGAGAACAUGUCGAGAUACCUUGGCUGUCUGAGGACG
This 87-nucleotide small nucleolar RNA is filed under the name Caenorhabditis japonica. RNAcentral's name for it is "snoRNA CJA48528". It matches the Rfam family "Caenorhabditis snoRNA ceN28". Lineage: Eukaryota; Metazoa; Nematoda; Chromadorea; Rhabditida; Rhabditidae. The record is from Rfam by way of RNAcentral.